AUUGAAUGCUUAAAGAAUUGCUCUAGUGUGGGCUAAUGGUGGGAAGGGGCUUCACCUGUAGUGUGUUGAAGUCUCAUUUACUAUGCCAAUAACAGCACAUUCCUCACCCUGGAACCUGAGUAAUCUCUAUACAUCCUCAGACCUAAAGAGACAAAAAAGCUCAAAUCUUAGGUCUCUCAUGGCUGGAAAGGGGACAAACUGGUCAAAAGUAUGGCUUCAUCUUAUGUUAUGGUGGGAAAUAAUAGAAUAUUGGCUGCUAUGAGGGAUAGGCUGGGAGUCAGGUGGGAGGUGAACAUUAAGAAGGAGAGGGACUGACCUGAAGCCUACGGAGUGUCGCUAUCACUCAUCACAGGGUUAAUUUUGAGAGGCAUCUAUGUUUGUGCAGUUGCAUUUUCUGUAAACAUUAUUGUUUUGCUCCACUAUGGUAUUUCUUAAAGUGUUUUGGAAAAGUAAGGAAAGA
Molecule: long non-coding RNA, 460 nt
Filed under: Pan troglodytes (chimpanzee)
Lineage: Eukaryota; Metazoa; Chordata; Mammalia; Primates; Hominidae
Description: long non-coding RNA NONPTRT000723
Source: RNAcentral